UACGUAGGGCGCAAGCGUUGUCCGGAAUUAUUGGGCGUAAAGAGCUCGUAGGCGGUUUGUCGCGUCUGCUGUGAAAACCUAAGGCUCAACCUUGGGCUUGCAGUGGGUACGGGCAGACUAGAGUACAGAAGGGGCAACUGGAAUUCUCGGUGUAGCGGUGAAAUGCGUAGAUAUCGAGAGGAACACCUGCGGCGAAGGCGGGUUGCUGGGCUGAUACUGACGCUGAGGCGCGAAAGCUAGGGGAGCGAACGGG
RNAcentral lists this ribosomal RNA (253 nucleotides) under uncultured bacterium. RNAcentral describes it as "partial 16S ribosomal RNA". It matches the Rfam family "Bacterial small subunit ribosomal RNA", at positions 524 to 776 of the family's 1533-position model. The record is from RNAcentral.